AAUUAAAGGCCUUACAGGUCAGAUUCCAACUUCGAUCUUCAACAUUUCUUCUCUGAAAACCAUUGAUCUCUCCAACAAUAGCCUAUCAGGUAGUUUGCCUAAUGAUAUGUGUCAACAUCUUCCCAAGCUUGAAGGGCUUUACCUGGGUUUGAAUGAAUUAUCUGGUAACGUUCCAUCAAGUAUGGGCAAAUGCAGCAACCUUAAAAUUUUGUGGUUGUCCUCUAAUCAAUUGAUGGGGAUCAUUCCAAAAAGUAUUGGAAAUCUGACACGACUCAAAGAAUUAUAUUUGGGGCUGAAUAACCUAGAAGGUAUUAAAUUUUAUUGGUUUCUGAGUUUAAAGUAUUUUUUUAAUAAAAGAGUUUGAUUAGUAAUAGAUAACAAAAGUAAGAGCAUUUUAUUUCAUUCAAGGCAAAAUAGUUCAAAAUAGUUAAUUUGAUGAAAACAAAUAUGCUUAAAAUAUUAAAAUCUAACAUUUGCAAAUUAUGUAAAACAAAAAAGAAAACCUCUUUGACUUAUGCUAACAAAAUAGGUAGUUUGACACCUUGAUUUUUCGACUAUGUGUGCAGGCCAAAUUCCUGAGGAAAUCGGUAAUCUUCUUGGUUUGGAAAUGCUUAAUAUUCAAGAAAUUAAAGGCCUUAUAGGUCGGAUUCCAACUUUGAUCUUCAACAUUUCUUCUCUGAAGACCAUUGAUCUCUCCAACAAUAGCCUAUCAGGUAGUUUGCCUAAUGAUAUGUGUCAACAUCUUCCCAAGCUUGAAGGGCUUUACCUGGGUUUGAAUGAAUUAUUUGGUAACAUUCCAUCAAGUAUGGGCAAAUGUUGCAACCUUAAAAUUUUGUGGUUGUCCUCUAAUCAAUUGAUGGGGAUCAUUCCAAAAAGUAUUGGAAAUCUGACACGACUCAAAGAAUUAUAUUUGGGGCUGAAUAACCUAGAAG
This 932-nucleotide long non-coding RNA is filed under the name Gossypium barbadense (sea-island cotton). RNAcentral's name for it is "long non-coding RNA (GBAR_LNC016625)". The record is from RNAcentral. Lineage: Eukaryota; Viridiplantae; Streptophyta; Magnoliopsida; Malvales; Malvaceae.